CCAAUAGCGUAUAUUAAAGUUGCUGCAGUUAAAAAGCUCGUAGUUGAAUUUCGGGACUAAUAUGUCGGUCGUGCCUCGGUACGUACUGGCUUAUUGGUUUCUCCUUUCUGAAGAACCAUGAUGUCAUUUAUUUGGUGUCGUGGGGAAUCAGGACUGUUACUUUGAAAAAAUUAGAGUGUUUAAAGCAGGCUUACGCUUGAAUACAUUAGCAUGGAAUAAUGAAAUAGGACGUUUGAUUCUAUUUUGUUGGUUUCUAGGAUCGACGUAAUGAUUAAUAGGGAUAGUUGGGGGCAUUAGUAUUCAAUUGUCAGAGGUGAAAUUCUUGGAUUUAUUGAAGACUAACUUCUGCGAAAGCAUUUGCCAAGGAUGUUUUCAUUAAUCAAGAACGAAAGUUAGGGGAUCGAAGACGAUCAGAUACCGUCGUAGUCUUAACCAUAAACUAUGCCGACUAGGGAUCAGACUGUCGUUAAAUUACUGACGCGUUUGGCACCUUAUG
This 496-nucleotide ribosomal RNA is filed under the name uncultured Glomus. RNAcentral describes it as "SSU rRNA". It matches the Rfam family "Eukaryotic small subunit ribosomal RNA", at positions 591 to 1092 of the family's 1831-position model. The record is from RNAcentral. Lineage: Eukaryota; Fungi; Glomeromycota; Glomeromycetes; Glomerales; Glomeraceae.